UUGAUCCUGCCGGAGGUCACUGCUAUCGGGGUUCGAUUAAGCCAUGCGAGUCGAGAGGGUUCAGACCCUCGGCGGACUGCUCAGUAACACGUGGAUAACCUAACCUAGGGUGGGGCAUAACCCCGGGAAACUGGGGAUAAUACCCCAUAGGUUACGGAUGCUGGAAUGCUCUGUAACCGAAAGCUCCGGCGCCCUAGGAUGGAUCUGCGGCCGAUUAGGUUGUUGUUGGGGUAACGGCCCAACAAGCCAGUAAUCGGUACGGGUUGUGGGAGCAAGAGCCCGGAGAUGGAUUCUGAGACACGAAUCCAGGCCCUACGGGGCGCAGCAGGCGCGAAAACUUUACAAUGCGGGAAACCGUGAUAAGGGAACCCCGAGUGCCCGUAAACGCGGGCUGUUAGGGUGCUUAAAACACACUCUGAGAAAGGGCCGGGCAAGACCGGUGCCAGCCGCCGCGGUAAUACCGGCGGCUCGAGUGGUGGCCACUAUUAUUGGGCUUAAAGCGUUCGUAGCUGGGUUGUUAAGUCUCUUGGGAAAUCUGACGGCUUAACCGUUAGGCGUCUAAGAGAAACUGGCGAUCUUGGGACCGGGAGAGGUGAGAGGUACUCCGGGGGUAGGAGUGAAAUCCUGUAAUCCUCGGGGGACCACCUGUGGCGAAGGCGUCUCACCAGAACGGCUCCGACAGUGAGGGACGAAAGCUGGGGGAGCAAACCGGAUUAGAUACC
This 722-nucleotide ribosomal RNA is filed under the name uncultured euryarchaeote. RNAcentral describes it as "bacterial SSU rRNA". It matches the Rfam family "Archaeal small subunit ribosomal RNA", at positions 8 to 737 of the family's 1478-position model. Lineage: Archaea; Methanobacteriati; Methanobacteriota. The record is from RNAcentral.